RNAcentral lists this ribosomal RNA (250 nucleotides) under uncultured bacterium. RNAcentral describes it as "partial 16S ribosomal RNA". It matches the Rfam family "Bacterial small subunit ribosomal RNA", at positions 81 to 334 of the family's 1533-position model. The record is from RNAcentral.
UACUCCGCCGGCGACCGGCGCACGGGUGCGUAACGCGUAUGCAACCUACCUUUAACAGGGGCAUAACACUGAGAAAUUGGUACUAAUUCCCCAUAACAUUCGAGAAGGCAUCUUCUUGGGUUAAAAACUCCGGUGGUUAAAGAUGGGCAUGCGUUGUAUUAGCUAGUUGGUGAGGUAACGGCUCACCAAGGCAACGAUACAUAGGGGGACUGAGAGGUUAACCCCCCACAUUGGACUGAGACACGGCCAA